Molecule: ribosomal RNA, 253 nt
Filed under: uncultured bacterium
Lineage: Bacteria
Description: partial 16S ribosomal RNA
Rfam family: Bacterial small subunit ribosomal RNA
Source: RNAcentral
UACAGAGGGUGCGAGCGUUAAUCGGAAUUACUGGGCGUAAAGGGUGCGUAGGUGGUUGUAUAAGUUAGGUGUGAAAGUCCUGGGCUUAACCUGGGGAUUGCGCCUAAUACUGUGUGACUAGAGUACUGUAGAGGGAGGUGGAAUUUCCGGUGUAGCGGUGAAAUGCGUAGAUAUCGGAAGGAACAUCAGUGGCGAAGGCGACUUUCUGGACAGAUACAGACACUGAGGCACGAAAGCGUGGGGAGCAAACAGG